UUCAGCCUGUAUACGGAACGUGUGGCUUACGUUCGUCCAUUACAACAUUGGACUUGACUGAGGAUACAUCUUGUCUGUGUCGUACUUUCUAUUUCCCCUUUUAUAGUUGCCAGCUGAGAAGCUGCUUUUGUCUGCCACUAGGUUUCCAUCCACUUUCUGCACAUUUUCAAGGGUUAUGGGCAGGUCAGCCUCAUCAUGGAAUUUGGUAGCUACUCUUCACAGCUCUCUGCCUGGACUGACUCCCGCCUCCGCCUCGCUCUUGUACACACACGGCCCUGGAUAUUGAGUCUUCUUUGGAUUGAAGGACAAACCUUCUGGAACUCUGGAACCAGGCUCUUGCCCAGACCCCUUCCCAGACCCCUUCCCAGAACGCUGACCAUGCACAUUUGUUCAUUAAACCUUACUUAACUUUA
This is a long non-coding RNA of Micropterus dolomieu (smallmouth bass), 413 nucleotides long. RefSeq lists it as uncharacterized. The transcript is spliced from 3 exons. The record is from RefSeq and is a predicted model, not a curated record. NCBI's taxonomy places the organism in Eukaryota, Metazoa, Chordata, Actinopteri, Centrarchiformes, Centrarchidae.